AGCAUAAUGCUACCAGUGUUGAAAUGUUACUUACCGAUCCAAACAUAGUUAGAUCGGCGAAAUGUCAACCCUUGUCAUCAAAGAUCCGGCUGGCUUGGGAAUUUUGGUCGAAUUACCUGCACAUUUGCGAAAGGAUCUGCCCCUGAAGGGAGCACCAGGUGCACCUAGUGGAAAUGCAGCGCUUUUAUAGUAAAUGCGAUGAAGGAACCUUACUGAUUUACUGACUGAAGUUAUUUAAAAUGCAGCUUAAAUAAUUAAAACUUUGGUCUGGAGCAGAUUACGAUGGCUAAAUUGUUGAGAAGAUUUUAAAUAAAUGACUGAUUAGGAUCAAAAUGCUUCGAAACUUUAAUUUUACGCUAACAAAUAUUUUCUAAGAAUAGUAGAUCGCUCUUUCAGCGUUGGUCACCCUGCUGUGGCGAAGGGGCUUAUGUAAUAAGUAAUAGUAAUGGCCACAACACAAAUGGGAACUAAGAAGGAUACCUCAUAAUUUCGGAAGUAUUCUAAUGCUUUCUCUAGGACGAGUGAAUAAUCCCUACCAGCUGACUCGUAGAUACAGAAUUAAUACAACCAAUUAGGAUACAAAUAUCUUGUGCAGUUAACAUAACGGGUGCCAAGCAAAGUAGUCGUACACUAAGGAUAACUAUGGAAAUAUGGAACUGACUGCUAAGGGAGUAAAUCAGCGUACGAAAAGGAAACAGUCUCUUAUCAAGUGAGCAAAAUCCGGGAUGUUAUUAUUGUGGGUAAGAUUGGCACAAACCAGACUCCCGCACUUCAGUGGAUGAAGAGGAAAUAAAACGGCAGAGGAAUAUGAAAGUUUCCUGAAAAGUAAACAAUCAAAACCCCCUCUGAAACCAGUGGGCAAAAUGGUUCCUAAAAACCAAGGCUGUCUAUAAAUUUAAAUAGUUCAAAUAAUAGUUACUGCCUGACUAAAAAAGUCAUUAUGAAUCAUAAACAAAAUUUUAAUAUUUCGACAUCAUAUAUACUAAGCAAAAGGGUGACUUGACAAAUACUACUCUUUCACUAAGUUUUAUUUGUGUGGUAAGUGUUGUGGAAUCUGAUAGUUAUCGGAAUCAGAAUUGAAUCCGAUCAAAAAAA
This is a long non-coding RNA of Bactrocera latifrons, 1095 nucleotides long. RefSeq lists it as uncharacterized. Lineage: Eukaryota; Metazoa; Arthropoda; Insecta; Diptera; Tephritidae. The transcript has 3 exons. The record is from RefSeq and is a predicted model, not a curated record.